Molecule: non-coding RNA, 46 nt
Filed under: Schistosoma mattheei
Lineage: Eukaryota; Metazoa; Platyhelminthes; Trematoda; Strigeidida; Schistosomatidae
Source: RNAcentral
GUAUUGUUGAAGAGUCCCAUAAUAGGACGAAACGGCCGUCCAAUGC